Molecule: non-coding RNA, 21 nt
Filed under: Arabidopsis thaliana (thale cress)
Lineage: Eukaryota; Viridiplantae; Streptophyta; Magnoliopsida; Brassicales; Brassicaceae
Source: RNAcentral
UUGAGUAUUAGGGUUUCAGAA